Molecule: ribosomal RNA, 713 nt
Filed under: uncultured bacterium
Lineage: Bacteria
Description: bacterial SSU rRNA
Rfam family: Bacterial small subunit ribosomal RNA
Source: RNAcentral
AGCGGCGGACGGGUGAGUAACGCGUGGGAAUCUACCCUCUUGUGGGGGAUAACUUGGGGAAACCCAAGCUAAUACCGCAUAAGUCCUAAGGGAGAAAGCGGGGGAUCUUCGGACCUCGCGCAAGGGGAUGAGCCCGCGUCAGAUUAGCUAGUUGGUAGGGUAAAGGCCUACCAAGGCGACGAUCUGUAACUGGUCUGAGAGGAUGAUCAGUCACACCGGAACUGAGACACGGUCCGGACUCCUACGGGAGGCAGCAGUGGGGAAUCUUGGACAAUGGGGGAAACCCUGAUCCAGCCAUGCCGCGUGUGUGAAGAAGGCCUUAGGGUUGUAAAGCACUUUCAGCAGGGAGGAAGGCUUUAGCUUAAUACGCUGAAGUACUUGACGUUACCUGCAGAAGAAGCACCGGCUAAUUUCGUGCCAGCAGCCGCGGUAAUACGAAAGGUGCGAGCGUUAAUCGGAAUUACUGGGCGUAAAGCGCGCGUAGGCGGCUACUUAAGUCGGAUGUGAAAUCCCCGGGCUCAACCUGGGAACUGCAUCCGAUACUGGGUAGCUAGAGUGCAGUAGAGGGAGGUGGAAUUUCAGGUGUAGCGGUGAAAUGCGUAGAGAUCUGAAGGAACACCAGUGGCGAAGGCGGCCUCCUGGACUGGCACUGACGCUGAGGUGCGAAAGCGUGGGGAUCAAACAGGAUUAGAUACCCUGGUAGUCCACGCCGA